Molecule: ribosomal RNA, 240 nt
Filed under: uncultured Lactobacillus sp.
Lineage: Bacteria; Bacillati; Bacillota; Bacilli; Lactobacillales; Lactobacillaceae
Description: partial 16S ribosomal RNA
Rfam family: Bacterial small subunit ribosomal RNA
Source: RNAcentral
CCGUAGCCCAAGAGAUCGGGAUAACACCUGGAAACAGAUGCUAAUACCGGAUAACAACAGAUGAUGCCUAUCAACUGUUUAAAAGAUGGUUCUGCUAUCACUCUUGGAUGGACCUGCGGUGCAUUAGCUAGUUGGUAGGGUAACGGCCUACCAAGGCGAUGAUUGCAUAGCCGAGUUGAGAGACUGAUCGGCCACAUUGGGACUGAGACACGGCCCAAACUCCUACGGGAGGCAGCAGUC